UGGGGAAUUUUGGACAAUGGGCGAAAGCCUGAUCCAGCAAUGCCGCGUGUGUGAAGAAGGCCUUCGGGUUGUAAAGCACUUUUGUCCGGAAAGAAAUCCUUGGCUCUAAUACAGUCGGGGGAUGACGGUACCGGAAGAAUAAGCACCGGCUAACUACGUGCCAGCAGCCGCGGUAAUACGUAGGGUGCAAGCGUUAAUCGGAAUUACUGGGCGUAAAGCGUGCGCAGGCGGUUUGCUAAGACCGAUGUGAAAUCCCCGGGCUCAACCUGGGAACUGCAUUGGUGACUGGCAGGCUAGAGUAUGGCAGAGGGGGGUAGAAUUCCACGUGUAGCAGUGAAAUGCGUAGAGAUGUGGAGGAAUACCGAUGGCGAAGGCAGCCCCCUGGGCCAAUACUGACGCUCAUGCACGAAAGCGUGGGGAGCAAACAGGAUUAGAUACCCUGGUAGUCCACGCCCUAAACGAUGUCAACUAGUUGUUGGGGAUUCAUUCCUUAGUAACGUAGCUAACGCGUG
RNAcentral lists this ribosomal RNA (512 nucleotides) under uncultured bacterium. RNAcentral describes it as "partial 16S ribosomal RNA". It matches the Rfam family "Bacterial small subunit ribosomal RNA", at positions 355 to 861 of the family's 1533-position model. The record is from RNAcentral.